This 453-nucleotide unclassified non-coding RNA is filed under the name Hevea brasiliensis (rubber tree). The record is from RNAcentral. Lineage: Eukaryota; Viridiplantae; Streptophyta; Magnoliopsida; Malpighiales; Euphorbiaceae.
ACUAUUAACAUUAAUGUUCUCGAAAAAAGAAAGAACUUGGAAUAGGAAAUAGGAGAGAAAAGAGAGAAGGAUAAAGGGAAAAGAAAAAACAUCACAAUCAUCUCCUACUAAAAAAAAAAGACAUGGUUGUAUCACAGAUUUGGCAAAGGCAGGCAGGGAAAGAUUUUGGAAGGAAAGUUGUUUUUUUUCUGCCCACCAACAACAUAAACAUCCAGAGGGUCAAUUACUUCUUAACCCGUCAAUACGCAGUAGUAUUACGAAUCUCAAACUCAUAGCGGUGGGGGAAAGCAAUGGGCAUAGGAAUGAAUGACCUCAGAAAUAUACCCUCCUUGCGUGACCCAUAUCCGUGCUCAACCGAAAGAGUUCACAUUACACAUGACACAAAAAAAGCCAACUAAAGGAAAUAACUCACCAUUCAAAGCACAUAUUGAACUUAGAAGCACUUCCUGUGGA